UUCUCCCUUAUUUCCUUCUCAUCUCCUUUGCUUCAUCCUCUCUUGAAUGAGACAAUCCCCACAUGAAUCCCUCCAUCCUAAUCCUUGGAAGAAACUCCGUUGGUGCUCUCUCCUUCUCCUUAGGGCUUGGCGAGGUUGUGAAAGCUCGGCUCGACGCAAGGAGCCGCCGGAGGAGUAGCACCCCUUUUAGGGAAGUCUGGACUCCUAAGUCUGAUUUGGAGAUAAAAAGUGAACCUUCAUCUUGAAAAUAGCUUCAUGUUUUUAUUGAAAUUUGAUGGUGAUAGCAGGGUACGGCCUGCGGGCGCUAGCCCAAAUUUGCGAAUAGGGUCCGGUACUACAGUGCAGGAGUCUCCUCGGUCCAAUUUUUAGAGAGAUGGUAGGGUUGACCCUGGGUUUUUCCAUACAAAAGGUGUUGUAGAGCUCUUGAUUGGUGUGAUGUUGAGAUAUUCGGGGUCACCGCCAGGGUUGAUCAGAAGCCAACGGCAAGGGAUUUUCUUAUUUGGUUUUCAAAUCCUCGGCGGACCCAAUAUUGGUUGAGGCCUCAA
Long non-coding RNA from Dioscorea cayenensis subsp. rotundata (Guinea yam), 545 nucleotides. RefSeq lists it as uncharacterized. The record is from RefSeq and is a predicted model, not a curated record. The transcript has 3 exons. Lineage: Eukaryota; Viridiplantae; Streptophyta; Magnoliopsida; Dioscoreales; Dioscoreaceae.